Molecule: non-coding RNA, 213 nt
Filed under: Desulfocarbo indianensis
Lineage: Bacteria; Pseudomonadati; Thermodesulfobacteriota; Desulfarculia; Desulfarculales; Desulfarculaceae
Source: RNAcentral
UGUCCUGCCCCGAGGAUGGGUCCCUAACGGGGUUAAAAGGGAAGACGGUGCGAAUCCGUCACGGUCCCGCCGCUGUAACCGGGGACGAAAGCCGCAGGCAACUCGCCGGGUCUCAUGGAGCCGGUAAUUGUCAAGCCACUGCCGAAAGGCGGGAAGGCGCGGCAAGUAGAUUGAUCUGGAAGUCAGAAGACCUGCCUGUCCUGAAAUAGACCC